Molecule: long non-coding RNA, 1003 nt
Organism: Labrus bergylta (ballan wrasse)
Lineage: Eukaryota; Metazoa; Chordata; Actinopteri; Labriformes; Labridae
Source: RefSeq, a predicted model, not a curated record
GAGAGAGAGAGGGGAGAGAGAGAGAGAGAGAGAGAGAGAGAGAGAGAGAGAGAGAGAGAGUCUGGAGCUGAGAUUGAGGCUGGGACUGAAGCUGGAGUUGGGACUGAGGCUGAGCUGUGGAGGAGACAGUCUGAGUUAAAUCACUGGGUCUUACAAGAAACACCGAGUGGGAGCUUUCUCCUCUUCUUAACAGAGAAGUGGAACACAGCAGAAAGAAGUGGCAAGUUUCUUGUCCCGGCCGGACAUUUACCAUCUUUGAUCUAAAAUUUGGCAGUGAGAUGGGUUUGACUUCGGCCACAGGGACAAAACAAUUCGACCAACAAGUGAAAUCACAGACAGACAGAUUGGCUGAUGAUAACAGCUGCAUCACGUGACAGAUUUUCCUCCUUGGAGAUUUCCAGGCAGGGCCACCUGACGGGCAUCUGAGACCCUAAUGGAGGAAGGAAGGAAAAUGAUGUGUGUGCCCCCCCCCCCUCCUUUGCUGUGUGUUUCAGAGCAGGUGAGAAACAUUAACAUCAGCAGCAGCUGCAGCACCUCUGCUCCACACAUGGGGACCAGGAUAUGAGCUAGCUUUAGCUCGCUCUCCGUCAACACUAGGUCACUUACGUUAACACUCUCCUCUCCAACCCACGCAAACGGGACAGAAAAAGAAAGGAGAGCCGAGGGGAAGCUUGGGGGGGCGGGGGUAUUUUCAAUCUUUUUUAUUGUCAAAGUAAUGCUUAGAUGUAGGAAACACAGUUGUAUUCUACAAACAGCUCCUCCUCAGUGUACCACUGAAGAAAUACUUAUUUGAUCCAAUAUUGUAAUAUUCAUAACAUUUUGAGAGGUCAAAAGAGUCAAAGUUACAAGCAAAUAUUGUACGUAACGGGGAAAUAAAUAAAUAAUCAUAAUAAACUGUAAAACAGAAUGAAGAGCAGAAAAAAAAGUGAUCAUUUUAAUUCAUGUUUGUUUGCUUUUGACAACCAAUGCUGAAUUGUAACAGCUUCAUUUGCCAUCGUCAUAU